RNAcentral lists this small RNA (36 nucleotides) under Bombyx mori (domestic silkworm). RNAcentral's name for it is "ovarian small RNA-17307". Lineage: Eukaryota; Metazoa; Arthropoda; Insecta; Lepidoptera; Bombycidae. The record is from RNAcentral.
GGAGACCGUACGAGUUUUAUUCGUUUAGAACACGUU